UACGGAGGAUCCGAGCGUUAUCCGGAUUUAUUGGGUUUAAAGGGUGCGCAGGCGGGAGAUUAAGUCGGCGGUGAAAUUUUGCAGCUCAACUGUAAAAGUGCCUUCGAUACUGGUUUCCUUGAGUGUGGAUGAAGUAGGCGGAAUUUGUGGUGUAGCGGUGAAAUGCUUAGAUAUCACGAGGAACUCCGAUUGCGCAGGCAGCUUACUAAACCACUACUGACGCUCAGGCACGAAGGCGUGGGGAUCAAACAGGAUUAGAUACCCGGGUAGU
RNAcentral lists this ribosomal RNA (271 nucleotides) under uncultured prokaryote. Its description in RNAcentral is "partial 16S ribosomal RNA". It matches the Rfam family "Bacterial small subunit ribosomal RNA", at positions 524 to 794 of the family's 1533-position model. The record is from RNAcentral.